Molecule: ribosomal RNA, 441 nt
Filed under: uncultured bacterium
Lineage: Bacteria
Description: bacterial SSU rRNA
Rfam family: Bacterial small subunit ribosomal RNA
Source: RNAcentral
UUACGGGAGGCAGCAGUAGGGAAUCUUGCGCAAUGGGCGAAAGCCUGACGCAGCGACACCGCGUGGGGGAUGAAGGCCUUCGGGUUGUAAACCCCUUUCAUGAGGGAUGAACACUGACAUUACCUCAGGAAGAAGCACCGGCUAACUCCGUGCCAGCAGCUGCGGUAAUACGGAGAGUGCGAACGUUGUUCGGAUUCACUGGGCGUAAAGGGCACGUAGGCGGCUCGGCAAAUCGGUCGUGGAAUCCCGGCGCUUACCGUCGGAACGGCGGCCGAAAAUACCGAGCUCGAGGGCGUGAGGGGUCACUGGAACUCCUGGUGAAGCGGUGAAAUGCGUAGAUAUCAGGAGGAACGCCGGAGGCGAAAGCGAGUGACUGGCGCGUUCCUGACGCUGAGGUGCGAAAGCUAGGGGAGCAAACAGGAUUAGAUACCCCGGUAGUCC